AGCUCCAAUAGCGUAUAUUAAAGUUGCUGCAGUUAAAAAGCUCGUAGUUGCAUUUCCGAGGCAAGGGAUUAGUCCGACCUUUGGUGGGUAUUUAAUCCUCUUGCCUCGUCCUUGAGUGGUGCUUCUUGGUAUUAAGUUAUCGAGGAGAUAGCCGCUCAUCGUUUACUGUGAGAAAAUUAGAGUGUUCAAAGCAGGCUUAUGCCGUUGAAUAUAUUAGCAUGGAAUAAUAAGAUAGGACCUCGGUACUAUUUUGUUUUUUUGAGAACCAAGGUAAUGAUUAAUAGGGACAGUUGGGGGUAUUCGUAUUCAGUUGUCAGAGGUGAAAUUCUUAGAUUUACGGAAGACGAACUACUGCGAAAGCAUUUACCAAGGAUGUUUUCA
RNAcentral lists this ribosomal RNA (381 nucleotides) under uncultured marine Chaetocerotaceae. RNAcentral describes it as "SSU rRNA". It matches the Rfam family "Eukaryotic small subunit ribosomal RNA", at positions 587 to 972 of the family's 1831-position model. Lineage: Eukaryota; Bacillariophyta; Thalassiosirophyceae; Chaetocerotales; Chaetocerotaceae. The record is from RNAcentral.